GCCUAGCCCUGAUAGCAGUGGAAAUCCUUUAUUGUUUUUUUUUUGAAAAACAAUAAAGAUUGAAACGAAUAGCAGGAUUAAGC
RNAcentral lists this small RNA (83 nucleotides) under Flavobacterium xueshanense. RNAcentral's name for it is "Flavo-1 RNA". It matches the Rfam family "Flavo-1 RNA". The record is from RNAcentral. Lineage: Bacteria; Pseudomonadati; Bacteroidota; Flavobacteriia; Flavobacteriales; Flavobacteriaceae.